UGUGGAUGAUCCGUCAAAUCCAACGACUCAAUCGUUGAACAGCGGAUUAUAUCGCAGGGCUAGGGGGCGGGAGAGGUGAGGAGUACUCCACGGGUAGGGGUAAAAUCCGCUGAUCCGUUGAAGACUAACAGUGGCGAAGGCGCCUCGCCAGAACGCGCUCGACGGUGAGGGAUGAAAGCUAGGGGAGCAAACCGGAUUAGAUACCCGGGUAGUCCUAGCCGUAAACGAUGCUUGCUAGGUGCUGGAAGGGCUAAGUGCUUUUCCAGUGCCGCAGGGAAGCCGUUAAGCAAGCCGCCUGGGGAGUACGGUCGCAAGGUUGAAACUUAAAGGAAUUGGCGGGGGAGCACCACAAGGGGUGAAGCCUGCGGUUCAAUUGGAGUCAACGCCCGGAACCUUACCAGGGGUGACAGCAGUUUGACGGUCAAGCUAAAGACUUUACCUGACAAGCUGAGAGGAGGUG
This 460-nucleotide ribosomal RNA is filed under the name uncultured archaeon. RNAcentral describes it as "bacterial SSU rRNA". It matches the Rfam family "Archaeal small subunit ribosomal RNA", at positions 532 to 992 of the family's 1478-position model. The record is from RNAcentral.